This 451-nucleotide ribosomal RNA is filed under the name uncultured bacterium. RNAcentral's name for it is "partial 16S ribosomal RNA". It matches the Rfam family "Bacterial small subunit ribosomal RNA", at positions 354 to 796 of the family's 1533-position model. The record is from RNAcentral.
GUGGGGAAUAUUGGACAAUGGGGGGAACCCUGAUCCAGCCAUGCCGCGUGUGUGAAGAAGGCCUUUUGGUUGUAAAGCACUUUAAGCGAGGAGGAGGCUACCGAGAUUAAUACUCUUGGAUAGUGGACGUUACUCGCAGAAUAAGCACCGGCUAACUCUGUGCCAGCAGCCGCGGUAAUACAGAGGGUGCAAGCGUUAAUCGGAUUUACUGGGCGUAAAGCGCGCGUAGGUGGCCAAUUAAGUCAAAUGUGAAAUCCCCGAGCUUAACUUGGGAAUUGCAUUCGAUACUGGUUGGCUAGAGUAUGGGAGAGGAUUGUAGAAUUCCAGGUGUAGCGGUGAAAUGCGUAGAGAUCUGGAGGAAUACCGAUGGCGAAGGCAGCCAUCUGGCCUAAUACUGACGCUGAGGUACGAAAGCAUGGGGAGCAAACAGGAUUAGAAACCCUAGUAGUCC